GUGCCAGCCGCCGCGGUAAUACGGAGGGGGCUAGCGUUGUUCGGAAUUACUGGGCGUAAAGCGCACGUAGGCGGACCAGAAAGUUGGAGGUGAAAUCCCAGGGCUCAACCUUGGAACUGCCUUCAAAACUAUUGGUCUGGAGUUCGAGAGAGGUGAGUGGAAUUCCGAGUGUAGAGGUGAAAUUCGUAGAUAUUCGGAGGAACACCAGUGGCGAAGGCGGCUCACUGGCUCGAUACUGACGCUGAGGUGCGAAAGCGUGGGGAGCAAACAGGAUUAGAUACCCUAGUAGUCC
RNAcentral lists this ribosomal RNA (292 nucleotides) under uncultured bacterium. RNAcentral's name for it is "partial 16S ribosomal RNA". It matches the Rfam family "Bacterial small subunit ribosomal RNA", at positions 505 to 796 of the family's 1533-position model. The record is from RNAcentral.